RNAcentral lists this ribosomal RNA (21 nucleotides) under Escherichia coli. Its description in RNAcentral is "23S ribosomal RNA from Escherichia coli (PDB 1QZC, chain B)". Lineage: Bacteria; Pseudomonadati; Pseudomonadota; Gammaproteobacteria; Enterobacterales; Enterobacteriaceae. The record is from RNAcentral.
CGGCCGUAACUAUAACGGUCC